GACAAACGCUGGCGGCGUGCCUAACACAUGCAAGUCGAGCGGGGACAUGAGAUCAGCAAUGAGAUUGUGUUCUAGCGGCGGACGGGUGAGUAACGCGUGAGCAACCUGGCCUGCACAGAGGGAUAACGAACCGAAAGGCUCCCUAAUACCUCAUGAGACCACACUGCCGCAUGGCAGAGGGGUCAAAGGAGCAAUCCAGUGCAGGGUGGGCUCGCGUCCGAUUAGAUAGUUGGUGAGGUAACGGCUCACCAAGUCGACGAUCGGUAGCCGACCUGAGAGGGUGAUCGGCCACAUUGGGACUGAGACACGGCCC
RNAcentral lists this ribosomal RNA (313 nucleotides) under uncultured bacterium. RNAcentral's name for it is "bacterial SSU rRNA". It matches the Rfam family "Bacterial small subunit ribosomal RNA", at positions 28 to 332 of the family's 1533-position model. The record is from RNAcentral.